UGCAUGACCCUUCCCUCCCCAC
This 22-nucleotide microRNA is filed under the name Homo sapiens (human). Its description in RNAcentral is "hsa-miR-6797-3p". Lineage: Eukaryota; Metazoa; Chordata; Mammalia; Primates; Hominidae. The record is from miRBase by way of RNAcentral.